Non-coding RNA from Myotis brandtii (Brandt's bat), 74 nucleotides. NCBI's taxonomy places the organism in Eukaryota, Metazoa, Chordata, Mammalia, Chiroptera, Vespertilionidae. The record is from Rfam.
GGUGGUUCUCGGUGACGCACCCCGAAAUCGGGCUCCCUCCUCUCUGGUUCCAGGUGCAUCACCCAAGAACCACA